Molecule: ribosomal RNA, 1195 nt
Filed under: human gut metagenome
Description: bacterial LSU rRNA
Rfam family: Bacterial large subunit ribosomal RNA
Source: RNAcentral
CCAUUCAUUCAAAGAGUGCGUAACAGCUCACUAGUCGAGGGUCUGUGCGUGGAUAAUAAUCGGGUAUGAAACAUGCCGCCGAAGCCACGGGAUUCACUAUUAUUUAGUGGAUCGGUAGGGGAGCAUUCCAUUUUCGGUGAAGGUAUUCCGUGAGGAGUGCUGGAGAUCAUGGAAAAGCAAAUGUAGGUAUAAGUAACGAUAAGGGGGGUGGGAUGCCCCCCCGCCGUAAGGUCAAGGUUUCCUGAACAACGUUAAUCGGUUCAGGGUUAGCCGGGUCCUAAGGAUAAGCCGAAGGGCGAAGCCGACGGAUGAAACGGUUAAUAUUCCGUUGCCGGCUUAUAUAAGUGAUGCGGUGAAGGAGCAGUGAAACUCUCGCGCCCUGACGGAACAGGGCGUUGAAGCACGAAGGCGUUAUGGUUCCGUAGUAAAGUACGCGGGAUUAGUCGAAGUGCGACAGUACGCAGACCCUUCGGGGCGAGCGACAGUAGAGGUAAUGGCUUCCGAGAAAACCCGCUAAACGUUAAUAUAUAAGCCGCCCGUACUGUAAACGGACACACGUGACCGGGUAGAACAUACUAAGGCGCUAGGGAGACUCACGGUUAAGGAACUAGGCAAAAUGACCCUGUAACUUCGGGAGAAAGGGUGCCUCGAAAGAGGCCGCAGAGAAUAGGCCCAAGCAACUGUUUAGCAAAAACACAGGUCUAUGCAAAACCGCAAGGUGAAGUAUAUGGGCUGACGCCUGCCCGGUGCUGGAAGGUUAAGGGGAGAGGUUAGCGCAAGCGAAGCUUUGAACUUAAGCCCCAGUAAACGGCGGCCGUAACUAUAACGGUCCUAAGGUAGCGAAAUUCCUUGUCGGGUAAGUUCCGACCCGCACGAAAGGCGUAAUGAUUUGGGCACUGUCUCGACAAUGCACCCGGUGAAAUUGAAAUACCAGUGAAGAUGCUGGUUACCUGCGCCAGGACGGAAAGACCCCAUGGAGCUUUACUCCAGCUUGAUACUGGGAUUCGGUACUACCUGUACAGGAUAGGUGGGAGGCUAUGAUCACGGGACGCCAGUUUCGUGUGAGCCGCUGUUGGGAUACCACCCUUGUAGUACUGGAUUCCUAACCUACAGCCGUGAACCGGCUGGGGGACAAUGUCUGGCGGGGAGUUUGACUGGGGCGGUCGCCUCCGAAAGGGUAUCGGAGGCGCUCAAA